AUGCCGUUCGGAUUGACGAAUGCCCCGGCCACCUUCCAGUGCUUGAUGAACGCCAUUUUCGCCAAGUAUUUCCGUAAAUUCGUAAUCAGUUUUCUUGAUGGCAUCUUAGUCUUAAGUGAGACCCUGGAGGAACAUCUGGAGCACCUCCGCAUUGUCCUCGACCUGUUGCGGGCACAUUACCUGUACGCAAAGGAAUCCAAGUGCUCAUUCGCGCAAGACAACAUUUCUUACCUCAGCCACAUCAUUUCCAAGGACGGCGUGGCAACGGACCUAGAGAAGACACAAGCCAUGCUGGCAUGGCCUACUCCGACCACGGCCACCGAGCUCCGCGGCUUCCUCGGCCUAACGGGCUACUACCGCAAGUUCAUCGCGCAUUAUGGAAUCAUCGCCAAGCCGCUGACCAACCUCCUGACUAAGAAGGGCUUCGAGUGGACCGAGCAGGCGCAGGUGGCUUUCAACUUGCUCAAACGCGCCAUGGUGACCGCGCCCGUGCUGGCUCUCCCAGACUUUGUGUGCCUGUUC
This 522-nucleotide ribosomal RNA is filed under the name Triticum aestivum (bread wheat). RNAcentral's name for it is "partial small subunit ribosomal RNA". The record is from RNAcentral. Lineage: Eukaryota; Viridiplantae; Streptophyta; Magnoliopsida; Poales; Poaceae.